UGGUGGGUAGUUUGACUGGGGCGGUCUCCUCCCAAAGAGUAACGGAGGAGCACGAAGGUUAGCUAAUCCUGGUCGGACAUCAGGAGGUUAGUGCAAUGGCAUAAGCUAGCUUGACUGCGAGAGUGACGGCUCGAGCAGGUGCGAAAGCAGGUCAUAGUGAUCCGGUGGUUCUGAAUGGAAGGGCCAUCGCUCAACGGAUAAAAGGUACUCCGGGGAUAACAGGCUGAUACCGCCCAAGAGUUCAUAUCGACGGCGGUGUUUGGCACCUCGAUGUCGGCUCAUCACAUCCUGGGGCUGAAGUAGGUCCCAAGGGUAUGGCUGUUCGCCAUUUAAAGUGGUACGCGAGCUGGGUUUAGAACGUCGUGAGACAGUUCGGUCCCUAUCUGCCGUGGGCGCUGGAGAAUUGAGGGGGGCUGCUCCUAGUACGAGAGGACCGGAGUGGACGCAUCACUGGUGUUCGGGUUGUCAUGCCAAUGGCACUGCCCGGUAGCUAAAUGCGGAAAAGAUAAGUGCUGAAAGCAUCUAAGCACGAAACUUGCCCCGAGAUGAGUUCUCCCUGACCCUUUAAGGGUCCUGAAGGAACGUUGAAGACUACGACGUUGAUAGGUCGGGUGUGUAAGCGCAGCGAUGCGUUGAGCUAACCGAUACUAAUGAACCGUGAGGCUUAACCUU
Molecule: ribosomal RNA, 672 nt
Filed under: Enterobacter asburiae
Lineage: Bacteria; Pseudomonadati; Pseudomonadota; Gammaproteobacteria; Enterobacterales; Enterobacteriaceae
Description: partial 23S ribosomal RNA
Rfam family: Bacterial large subunit ribosomal RNA
Source: RNAcentral